RNAcentral lists this ribosomal RNA (434 nucleotides) under uncultured Clostridium sp. RNAcentral's name for it is "partial 16S ribosomal RNA". It matches the Rfam family "Bacterial small subunit ribosomal RNA", at positions 341 to 792 of the family's 1533-position model. The record is from RNAcentral. Lineage: Bacteria; Bacillati; Bacillota; Clostridia; Eubacteriales; Clostridiaceae.
ACGGGAGGCAGCAGUGGGGAAUAUUGCACAAUGGGGGAAACCCUGAUGCAGCGACGCCGCGUGAGUGAAGAAGUUAUUCGUAAUGUAAAGCUCUAUCAGCAGGGAAGAAAAUGACGGUACCUGACUAAGAAGCCCCGGCUAACUACGUGCCAGCAGCCGCGGUAAUACGUAGGGGGCAAGCGUUAUCCGGAUUUACUGGGUGUAAAGGGAGCGUAGACGGAAUAGCAAGUUUGAGGUGAAAUACCUGUGCUUAACGCAGGAAUUGCUUUGAAAACUGUUAAUCUAGAGUACUGGAGGGGUAUGGGGAAUUCCUAGUGUAGUAGUGAAAUGCGUAGAUAUUAGGAGGAACACCGGAGGCGAAGGCGCCAUACUGGACAGAUACUGACGUUGAGGCUCGAAAGCGUGGGGAGCAAACAGGAUUAGAUACCCUGGUA